UCCCCAGUGCCUUAAUGGUAAAGAAUCUGCCUGCAAAAUGGGAGACCCAAGUUCAAUCCUUGGGUCGGGAA
RNAcentral lists this transfer RNA (71 nucleotides) under Capra hircus (goat). It matches the Rfam family "tRNA". Rfam says of the family: Transfer RNA (tRNA) molecules are approximately 80 nucleotides in length. Their secondary structure includes four short double-helical elements and three loops (D, anti-codon, and T loops). Lineage: Eukaryota; Metazoa; Chordata; Mammalia; Artiodactyla; Bovidae. The record is from Rfam by way of RNAcentral. RNAcentral also lists the same sequence under 1 other name.